GCGGCGUGCUUAACACAUGCAAGUCGAACGGAAAGGCCCUGCUUUUGUGGGGUGCUCGAGUGGCGAACGGGUGAGUAACACGUGAGUAACCUGCCCUUGACUUUGGGAUAACUUCAGGAAACUGGGGCUAAUACCGGAUAGGAGCUCCUGCUGCAUGGUGGGGGUUGGAAAGUUUCGGCGGUUGGGGAUGGACUCGCGGCUUAUCAGCUUGUUGGUGGGGUAGUGGCUUACCAAGGCUUUGACGGGUAGCCGGCCUGAGAGGGUGACCGGCCACAUUGGGACUGAGAUACGGCCCAGACUCCUACGGGAGGCAGCAGUGGGGAAUAUUGCACAAUGGGCGGAAGCCUGAUGCAGCAACGCCGCGUGCGGGAUGACGGCCUUCGGGUUGUAAACCGCUUUCGCCUGUGACGAAGCGUGAGUGACGGUAAUGGGUAAAGAAGCACCGGCUAACUACGUGCCAGCAGCCGCGGUGAUACGUAGGGUGCGAGCGUUGUCCGGAUUUAUUGGGCGUAAAGGGCUCGUAGGUGGUUGAUCGCGUCGGAAGUGUAAUCUUGGGGCUUAACCCUGAGCGUGCUUUCGAUACGGGUUGACUUGAGGAAGGUAGGGGAGAAUGGAAUUCCUGGUGGAGCGGUGGAAUGCGCAGAUAUCAGGAGGAACACCAGUGGCGAAGGCGGUUCUCUGGGCCUUUCCUGACGCUGAGGAGCGAAAGCGUGGGGAGCGAACAGGCUUAGAUACCCUGGUAGUCCACGCUGUAAACGGUGGGUACUAGGUGUGGGGUCCAUUCCGCGGGUUCCGUGCCGUAGCUAACGCUUUAAGUACCCCGCCUGGGGAGUACGGCCGCAAGGCUAAAACUCAAAGGAAUUGACGGGGCCCCGCACAAGCGGCGGAGCAUGCGGAUUAAUUCGAUGCAACGCGUAGAACCUUACCUGGGUUUGACAUGGAUCGGGAGUGCUCAGAGAUGGGUGUGCCUCUUUUGGGGUCGGUUCACAGGUGGUGCAUGGCUGUCGUCAGCUCGUGUCGUGAGAUGUUGGGUUAAGUCCCGCAACGAGCGCAACCCUUGUUCACUGUUGCCAGCACGUUAUGGUGGGGACUCAGUGGAGACCGCCGGGGUCAACUCGGAGGAAGGUGGGGAUGACGUCAAGUCAUCAUGCCCCUUAUGUCCAGGGCUUCACGCAUGCUACAAUGGCUGGUACAGAGAGUGGCGAGCCUGUGAGGGUGAGCGAAUCUCGGAAAGCCGGUCUCAGUUCGGAUUGGGGUCUGCAACUCGACCUCAUGAAGUCGGAGUCGCUAGUAAUCGCAGAUCAGCAACGCUGCGGUGAAUACGUUCCCGGGGCUUGUACACACCGCCCGUCAAGUCAUGAAAGUUGGUAACACCCGAAGCCGGUGGCCUAACCGUUGUGGGGGAGCCGUCGAAGGUGGGACUGGUGAUUAGGACUA
RNAcentral lists this ribosomal RNA (1437 nucleotides) under uncultured organism. Its description in RNAcentral is "16S ribosomal RNA". It matches the Rfam family "Bacterial small subunit ribosomal RNA". The record is from RNAcentral.